This 794-nucleotide long non-coding RNA is filed under the name Nicotiana benthamiana. Its description in RNAcentral is "long non-coding RNA (NBEN_LNC019400)". The record is from RNAcentral. Lineage: Eukaryota; Viridiplantae; Streptophyta; Magnoliopsida; Solanales; Solanaceae.
CUUAUUAAUUUGAUACCCCUAUAGUUGUUGCAGCACUGGAUGUCCCCUUUGUUCUUGUACAAGGGCACCACUUUACUCCACCUCCACUCAUCCGGCAUCCUUUUGGUCCUGAAGAUCGCAUUGAACAACCUGGAGAGCCACUCCACUCCUGACCUACCCAUGCACUUCGAGAACUCCAUCGCAAUCUCGUCAGGCCCGAUCGCUCGACCCCUACUCAUCUUACGCAAAGCCCAGAUGACCUUAUCCGCCCUAAUGUGCCUGCAGUACCAAGGUCUCUAUGUCUACAAACUUAUAUAAAGAAAUAAAUAGAAGCAUAAAACGGGGAAAAUGGGGUGGUAACUCACGUGAGGACGGGUCGGUCGUCACAGUCAACUACCCUCUCAUGAACAAUAGGCUUAUCUGAUAUGGCAAAAAAGAGGUCCAUGUUAGGAGAAUCCUAGAAAUUAAGUUCCGACUCUAAGGAACUAGAGAGGUCAACUUUUGAUUUCUUUGGAGUGGAGGAGACAUGGGGUUCUUCAUGUGUCUUUUACAAGGGCCUUUUGUCCUAAGGGUUGAGAAUGAAUCGGAGAAAUCCGCCUGAAAAAAGGCAAAUCCCUUAGAGUGUUCGGACCCUAGGUCUACCUGUUCAGGGGGUUUUCCCUUGGAGCGGAUGCUCUUUCUAGUUGAGGCAGAAUGGGUUUUGGAUUGUUUAUCCAUUGCAUGAUGUUGGUGGUGGAGCAAGAUUUCAGAGAAAGGGUAUGAGGGCAAUACUUGGUUAUGCUAGUCUAAAUCAAUUAAACAAAUUAGUCUCCAAG